GAUGAACGCUGGCGGCGUGCCUAAUACAUGCAAGUCGAGCGAACAGAUAAGGAGCUUGCUCCUUUGACGUUAGCGGCGGACGGGUGAGUAACACGUGGGUAACCUACCUAUAAGACUGGAAUAACUCCGCGAAACCGGGGCUAAUGCAGGAUAACAUGUUGAACCGCAUGGUUCUACAGUGAAAGGCGGCUUUGCUGUCACUUAUAGAUGGACCCGCGCCGUAUUAGCUAGUUGGUGAGGUAACGGCUCACCAAGGCAACGAUACGUAGCCGACCUGAGAGGGUGAUCGGCCACACUGGAACUGAGACACGGUCCAGACUCCUACGGGAGGCAGCAGUAGGGAAUCUUCCGCAAUGGGCGAAAGCCUGACGGAGCAACGCCGCGUGAGUGAUGAAGGUCUUCGGAUCGUAAAACUCUGUUAUUAGGGAAGAACAAAUGCGUAAGUAACUGUGCGCGUCUUGACGGUACCUAAUCAGAAAGCCACGGCUAACUACGUG
RNAcentral lists this ribosomal RNA (497 nucleotides) under uncultured bacterium. Its description in RNAcentral is "partial 16S ribosomal RNA". It matches the Rfam family "Bacterial small subunit ribosomal RNA", at positions 28 to 507 of the family's 1533-position model. The record is from RNAcentral.